AACGAACGCUGGCGGCAUGCCUAACACAUGCAAGUCGAACGAGACCUUCGGGCUUAGUGGCGCACGGGUGCGUAACGCGUGGGAACCUGCCCUUAGGUUCGGAAUAACUUCCCGAAUGGGGUGCUAAUACCGGAUAAUGUCCUCGGACCAAAGAUUUAUCGCCUUUGGAUGGGCCUGCGUUGGAUUAGCUGGUUGGUAGGGUAAAAGCCUAUCAAGGCGACGAUCCAUAGCUGGUUUGUGAGGAGGAUCCGCCACACUGGGACUGAGACACGGCCCAGACUCCUACGGGAGGCGGCAGUGGGGAAUAUUGGACAAUGGGCUAAAGCCUGAUGCAGCAAUGCCGCGUGAGUGAUGAAGGCCUUAGGGUUGUAAAGCUCUUUUACCCGGGGUGAUAAUGACGGUACCGGGAGAAUAAGCUCCGGCUAACUCCGUG
This 433-nucleotide ribosomal RNA is filed under the name uncultured bacterium. RNAcentral's name for it is "partial 16S ribosomal RNA". It matches the Rfam family "Bacterial small subunit ribosomal RNA", at positions 29 to 507 of the family's 1533-position model. The record is from RNAcentral.